UUGCUAUGAUGAAACUCAGUUUAUUGACGGUAUUCAUAAGAUUACUUGUGAUACAUCGGCAUUUAUGUCGAACCUGAGCGGUUACCUGAGCAA
Molecule: small nucleolar RNA, 93 nt
Organism: Vicia villosa (hairy vetch)
Lineage: Eukaryota; Viridiplantae; Streptophyta; Magnoliopsida; Fabales; Fabaceae
Product: small nucleolar RNA snoR128
Exons: 1
Source: RefSeq, a predicted model, not a curated record